This 72-nucleotide transfer RNA is filed under the name Stegodyphus mimosarum. It matches the Rfam family "tRNA". Rfam says of the family: Transfer RNA (tRNA) molecules are approximately 80 nucleotides in length. Lineage: Eukaryota; Metazoa; Arthropoda; Arachnida; Araneae; Eresidae. The record is from Rfam by way of RNAcentral.
GCCUUCGAGGUGCAAUGGUCAACUCACUCAGCUCGUAUUCGAGAGGUUCAGGUUCGGGUCCCGGCGAGGGCA